GUUAAGUUGCAGGGUAUAGACCCGAAACCCGGUGAUCUAGCCAUGGGCAGGUUGAAGGUUGGGUAACACUAACUGGAGGACCGAACCGACUAAUGUUGAAAAAUUAGCGGAUGACCUGUGGCUGGGGGUGAAAGGCCAAUCAAACCGGGAGAUAGCUGGUUCUCCCCGAAAGCUAUUUAGGUAGCGCCUCGUGAAUUCAUCUCCGGGGGUAGAGCACUGUUUCGGCUAGGGGGCCAUCCCGGCUUACCAACCCGAUGCAAACUGCGAAUACCGGAGAAUGUUAUCACGGGAGACACACGGCGGGUGCUAACGUCCGUCGUGAAGAGGGAAACAACCCAGACCGCCAGCUAAGGUCCCAAAGUCAUGGUUAAGUGGGAAACGAUGUGGGAAGGCCCAGACAGCCAGGAUGUUGGCUUAGAAGCAGCCAUCAUUUAAAGAAAGCGUAAUAGCUCACUGGUCGAGUCGGCCUGCGCGGAAGAUGUAACGGGGCUAAACCAUGCACCGAAGCUGCGGCAGCGAACGUAUCACCCAAGACAACUUUACGGAGUUGACGAUUGACGGAGCGAAGCGACGUCAAAGCGUUCAUUAAAGUCGAGUUGGCUUAGGGAUACGUUCGUUGGGUAGGGGAGCGUUCUGUAAGCCUGUGAAGGUGUGUCGUGAGGCAUGCUGGAGGUAUCAGAAGUGCGAAUGCUGACAUAAGUAACGAUAAAGCGGGUGAAAAGCCCGCUCGCCGGAAGACCAAGGGUUCCUGUCCAACGUUAAUCGGGGCAGGGUGAGUCGACCCCUAAGGCGAGGCCGAAAGGCGUAGUCGAUGGGAAACGGGUUAAUAUUCCCGUACUUGGUGUUACUGCGAAGGGGGGACGGAGAAGGCUAUGUUGGCCGGGCGACGGUUGUCCCGGUUUAAGCGUGUAGGUGUGUGUUCCAGGUAAAUCCGGUUCACUUUAACACUGAGGCGUGACGACGAGGCACUACGGUGCUGAAGCAACAAAUGCCCUGCUUCCAGGAAAAGCCUCUAAGCAUCAGGUAACAUCAAAUCGUACCCCAAACCGACACAGGUGGUCAGGUAGAGAAUACCAAGGCGCUUGAGAGAACUCGGGUGAAGGAACUAGGCAAAAUGGUGCCGUAACUUCGGGAGAAGGCACGCUGACAC
This 1150-nucleotide ribosomal RNA is filed under the name Salmonella enterica subsp. enterica serovar Typhimurium. Its description in RNAcentral is "partial 23S ribosomal RNA". It matches the Rfam family "Bacterial large subunit ribosomal RNA", at positions 694 to 1757 of the family's 2925-position model. Lineage: Bacteria; Pseudomonadati; Pseudomonadota; Gammaproteobacteria; Enterobacterales; Enterobacteriaceae. The record is from RNAcentral.